Molecule: long non-coding RNA, 191 nt
Organism: Thalassophryne amazonica
Lineage: Eukaryota; Metazoa; Chordata; Actinopteri; Batrachoidiformes; Batrachoididae
Exons: 3
Source: RefSeq, a predicted model, not a curated record
CAUGAUUUGUGGAGGAGGAACUAAUGUCAGUUGUGAAAUGUUCAUUUGGUUUUGAAGUUAGAGAACUGACAAUUCUAGCAUGACAUUGAACUGAUAAAGUUUUCAUUUAAAGUUUGUUAUACAUGCUUAUUUACUGUAUUAUCAGUUGACAAAGAGAAAAUUCUUCAAAAUAAAAUGCCUAAUUUAUUCUU